This 74-nucleotide transfer RNA is filed under the name Candidatus Sungiibacteriota bacterium. Its description in RNAcentral is "Candidatus Sungbacteria bacterium tRNA-Glu". It matches the Rfam family "tRNA". Rfam says of the family: Transfer RNA (tRNA) molecules are approximately 80 nucleotides in length. Their secondary structure includes four short double-helical elements and three loops (D, anti-codon, and T loops). Lineage: Bacteria; Candidatus Sungiibacteriota. The record is from RNAcentral.
GGCCCCAUCGUCUAGUGGUCUAGGAUAUCUGGUUCUCAUCCAGAAGAUCAUGGGUUCGAAUCCCAUUGGGGCCG